GAUGAAGAACGUAGCGAAAUGCGAUAAGUAAUGUGAAUUGCAGAAUUCCGUGAAUCAUCGAAUCUUUGAACGCACAUUGCGCCCUCUGGUAUUCCGGGGGGCAUGCCUGUCCGAGCGUCAUUUCACCACUCAAGCCUGGCUUGGUGUUGGGCGACGUCCCCUUUGGGGACGCGCCUCGAAACGCUCGGCGGCGUGGCACCGGCUUUAAGCGUAGCAGAAUCUUUCGCUUUGGAAGUCGGGGCCCCGUCUGCCGGAAGACCUACUCGCAAGGUUGACCUCGGAUCAGGCAGGGAUACCCGCUGAACUUAAGCAUAUCAAUAAGCGGAGGA
This 329-nucleotide unclassified non-coding RNA is filed under the name soil metagenome. Its description in RNAcentral is "partial contains 5.8S ribosomal RNA, internal transcribed spacer 2, and large subunit ribosomal RNA". The stretch from base 1 to 120 matches the Rfam family "5.8S ribosomal RNA", at positions 35 to 154 of the family's 154-position model. The record is from RNAcentral.